GAUGAACGCUGGCGGCGUGCCUAAUACAUGCAAGUCGAGCGAACAGACGAGGAGCUUGCUCCUCUGACGUUAGCGGCGGACGGGUGAGUAACACGUGGAUAACCUACCUAUAAGACUGGGAUAACUUCGGGAAACCGGAGCUAAUACCGGAUAACAUGUUGAACCGCAUGGUUCAACAGUGAAAGACGGUCUUGCUGUCACUUAUAGAUGGAUCCGCGCCGCAUUAGCUAGUUGGUAAGGUAACGGCUUACCAAGGCAACGAUGCGUAGCCGACCUGGGAGGGGGAUCGGCCACACUGAAACUGAGACACGGUCCAGACUCCUACGGGAGGCAGCAGUAGGGAUUCUGCCGCAAUGGGCGAAAGCCUGACGGAGCAACGCCGCGUGAGUGAAGAAGGUCUUCGGAUCGUAAAACUCUGUUAUUAGGGAAGAACAAAUGUGUAAGUAACUAUGCACGUCUUGACGGUACCUAAUCAGAAAGCCACGGCUAACUCCGU
This 496-nucleotide ribosomal RNA is filed under the name uncultured bacterium. Its description in RNAcentral is "partial 16S ribosomal RNA". It matches the Rfam family "Bacterial small subunit ribosomal RNA", at positions 28 to 506 of the family's 1533-position model. The record is from RNAcentral.